CAAUAGCAGCCAUGGUGUGCUCUGACUUUCCCAUUAUCCACUUCAGCAGCUCCCACAGAGGCCACAUCGGUCGUCCUGGUUCCCCCAUCAGUUCGCCAAACGCCACAGGAAGCUGAAACCAGACAUGAACACGACAGCCACUGACCUGAGCUUCCUCCCGGUAUCCUCCCCAGGUCGUACGGGUUGUUGGUGAUGCCUCUCAGGUGGUUGUGGGACUCGCACCACAUGCACAGCUCGCUGGUGUUGGUGACGCCCAGCGGGAUGGCCCCGGCUCUCUUCAGGAGGGCCACAGGUGGAGCGUCCACGGUGGACACGAGUCUUCGCCUGCUGACCAGACCUGUGGCGUUGGGCAUGCCUGCAAGACGGACAUGUGUCAAUUGCGGUAUGGAACGAAACACAUGCUUUGUCCUCUCAUUCUAUGUGAUUUAAAUAAAAUCACGUCAUUUCCCUUUUUGAAUUUAAACGUCCUGUCCUGCCACCUACAUGUUCGACCCCAGACUCCGCCCCUCGCCUGAAUUGACCUGCUGAUGUGAACAUGUCUGACCCGGACAGUCUCCUGCUGCAUUUUCACAUGUGAAGCCAAAGUUUGGACAUUUCCAAGAGUUCAAGUCUGAAAAACAGCCUAAGAAGCUGUUAAGUGUCCCGUGAGUGAGAGUCUGUUUGUUCCAUGUGAGUGGGUGUGGGUGGAUAAAUGAAAUCAGUCCUGGUGCAUAUUCAAAAAUAGUAGGCUAUCAGAGAAUAGCCUGGUUUCAAGUAGCUGACAGGAGAUUGGAUUUCUGGAAGUGUUACCCUGGAGGGCGAAGGACUCUUUGACGGAGAGCGGGACUCCCAGUAGAGGCAGCCGGUCCUCCAGCACCUCCUCUCCUCCGGUCUCCUCCUCGAUCAGCUUAUCAACCUGGGCUGCCUCCUGGAGCGCGGCGGCGAACCUGGACACGGAGGGAAAUAAACUUGAUGUUGAAUUUCUGAUUUAAAAGAUGAGGAUGAUGAAGAGUCAGAUGACGAUGAAGACUGGGUCUGUCUUGCCUGUCUUUAACCACAGCGUUCAGGAAGGGGUUGACUUCCUGGAUCCUGUCGAUGUAAGCCUGCACCACCUCCACACUGGACACCUGCAGACACACAACAAGUUAGCUUCUUAAUAUAUAUACAUAAAAUAUAUAAAAAUACUUUAUAUAGUGUCCACUUUAAACAGCAUAUAUGGAUAGAGGGAUAUCGUGAUAUUAUAUAUAAGGAGCACAGGUGUGUAGUUGUUGAUCCGCAGGUGUAAGAGUAAUUAACUUUAAGGGUUUGUAGACUUAUGAUAGUCUAAUAUAGAUCUAUAA
Long non-coding RNA from Platichthys flesus (European flounder), 1319 nucleotides. RefSeq lists it as uncharacterized. The transcript has 3 exons. NCBI's taxonomy places the organism in Eukaryota, Metazoa, Chordata, Actinopteri, Pleuronectiformes, Pleuronectidae. The record is from RefSeq and is a predicted model, not a curated record.